Molecule: ribosomal RNA, 252 nt
Filed under: Pseudo-nitzschia fraudulenta
Lineage: Eukaryota; Bacillariophyta; Bacillariophyceae; Bacillariales; Bacillariaceae
Description: partial Bacterial large subunit ribosomal RNA
Rfam family: Bacterial large subunit ribosomal RNA
Source: RNAcentral
CCGAAAAUGUACCGGGGCUAAACGUAUCACCGAAGCUGCGGACUGUUCUUGCGAACAGUGGUAGGAGAGCGUUCUAAGGGCUGUGAAGCGAGACCGGAAGGACUCGUGGAGCGCUUAGAAGUGAGAAUGCCGGUAUGAGUAGCGAAAGAGGGGUGAGAAUCCCCUCCACCGAAUGCCUAAGGUUUCCUGAGGAAGGCUCGUCCGCUCAGGGUUAGUCGGGACCUAAGCCGAGGCCGAAAGGCGUAGGCGAUG